This 482-nucleotide ribosomal RNA is filed under the name uncultured marine eukaryote. RNAcentral describes it as "bacterial SSU rRNA". It matches the Rfam family "Eukaryotic small subunit ribosomal RNA", at positions 618 to 1096 of the family's 1831-position model. The record is from RNAcentral.
GUUAAAAAGCUCGUAGUUGGAUUUCUUCGUUGGUGCGACCGCCCGUCGCCUUCUAGGUGCAUGGGACAGGUUUGCGUUGACGAAUCUUGCCACGAACUGCUCUGACCUUCAUUGGUUGGGGUUCAGGGACUGGCUCGUUUACUUUGAGAAAAAUAGAGUGUUCAAAGCAGGCGUUUGCCUUGAAUAAGUUAGCAUGGAGUAAUGAUAUAGGACUUUGGUUCUAUUUUGUUGGUUGUUCGAGGACCGAAGUAAUGAUUGAUAGGGACAGUUGGGGGCAUCAGUAUUCUGAAGCGAGAGGUGAAAUUCUUGGACCUUUGGAAGACCAACAACUGCGAAAGCAUUUGCCAAGGAUGUUCUCUUUAAUCAAGAACGAAAGUUGGGGGAUCGAAGACGAUCAGAUACCGUCGUAGUCUCAACUAUAAACUAUGCCGACUAGGGAUUGGUGGACGUUUUAUUUCGACUUCAUCAGCACCUUAUGAGAA